RNAcentral lists this ribosomal RNA (427 nucleotides) under uncultured bacterium. RNAcentral describes it as "bacterial SSU rRNA". It matches the Rfam family "Bacterial small subunit ribosomal RNA", at positions 28 to 454 of the family's 1533-position model. The record is from RNAcentral.
GAUGAACGCUAGCGGGAGGCCUAACACAUGCAAGCUGAGCGGUAUUUGUCUUUCGGGACAGAGAGAGCGGCGUACGGGUGCGUAACACGUGUGCAACCUGCCUUUAUCAGGAGGAUAGCCUUUCGAAAGGAAGAUUAAUACUCCAUAAUAUAUUAAUGGCAUCAAUUGAUAUUGAAACUCCGGUGGAUAAAGAUGGGCACGCGCAAGAUUAGAUAGUUGGUGAGGUAACGGCUCACCAAGUCGAUGAUCUUUAGGGGGCCUGAGAGGGUGAUCCCCCACACUGGUACUGAGACACGGACCAGACUCCUACGGGAGGCAGCAGUGAGGAAUAUUGGACAAUGGGGUUUAGCGCCUGAUCCAGCCAUCCCGCGUGAAGGAUUAAAGGACCUAUGGUUUGUAAAACUUCUUUUGUACAGGGAUAAACCUA